Long non-coding RNA from Corvus hawaiiensis (hawaiian crow), 515 nucleotides. RefSeq lists it as uncharacterized. Lineage: Eukaryota; Metazoa; Chordata; Aves; Passeriformes; Corvidae. The record is from RefSeq and is a predicted model, not a curated record. The transcript has 4 exons.
AUCUGAUCUCACGAUUAGCAAGCCAGCCUUGAGUUGCUGUAUGAAGAUAGUGGAGCUUCUGAAUCUUCUGCCAUGACAGAACCUAGAGUGGGAAAGCUAAGAGCUGGCAAUAUCAUAAUUGUCCAUGGUGUACAGAAGCUGUCCUGGAAUAAUAGCAAAGAUGACCUUAUUGGCAUUUUUUUAUUAUCUCCUCUGAGGAAGGGAAGAGUCCCAGCACUGCAAGGAAACUAAUGAGUUGAGAAUUCUGUAUUUUCAUUGCAUGUUGGAAAUAAACAUGAUGAAUAAUGCCAUCUUCCUUAAUACAACUUGCUUGCACAGACUAUGUAUGCUGUGGAUCAGUUUAAGUUCUCUUCCUGAGUAGCCAGUCCAAAUGCUGGAGGUGCAGAGCCUGAAAAAAGGUAAGACACUUUCAACUUGCCAGCAAAUAUAGCCUCCCUCAGUCCUUUCAAAGUCCAGCACACAAGGUGCCUAACCUCGCUGCCCACUUUGUUAAUAUGCAGAUACUCCUGAGUUGU